RNAcentral lists this long non-coding RNA (212 nucleotides) under Elaeis guineensis (African oil palm). RNAcentral's name for it is "long non-coding RNA (EGUI_LNC063783)". Lineage: Eukaryota; Viridiplantae; Streptophyta; Magnoliopsida; Arecales; Arecaceae. The record is from RNAcentral.
GACCGCAUAGGGUGGGCCUACAUGGAGAUGAGGUAGCUACAUCAUCUCCUACGAUGAUAGAAUAAUUUUACAUAUUAUUAUUUUUUAUAUUUAAUUUGUUUUAAUUUUUUAUCAUGUAUAAAUAACUGAUUUUAAGCUAUACCACUAGGAGGACCAUCUCACAAGAGAGGGCCAUAUAGAGAUGUCAACGCAUCUACAUCUCAGCAGUAGUC